Molecule: RNase P RNA, 254 nt
Filed under: Microcaldota archaeon
Lineage: Archaea; Nanobdellati; Microcaldota
Description: RNase P RNA component
Rfam family: Archaeal RNase P
About the family: Ribonuclease P (RNase P) is a ubiquitous endoribonuclease, found in archaea, bacteria and eukarya as well as chloroplasts and mitochondria. Its best characterised activity is the generation of mature 5'-ends of tRNAs by cleaving the 5'-leader elements of precursor-tRNAs.
Source: RNAcentral
AACGGGGGGCAGGCGGCUCACCGGGAACUCCGGAGGAAGUUCUGCCCACCAGAGGCAAAGGCCCCUUAAGGGGGCUCUUAGCGGGAACAGAAACGGUACUCCCAUGGUCUUACUAUGAGGAAACGAGAUGUCCAUGAAGGAGAUGAAACGGCCCGCGAAGGCCGGGUGAUGGUGCAAGCCAGGAAUUGGCGCUCAGUAUAAUGCCGCGCGGCGCUUCGGCGACGGAACACAGAAGGCAGGCUAUGCUCCCCGUU